UGUUGUGUAACAUCUGUGCAUGACUGCAUCAUGGACUGACACACCGAUCAAUGGAGAGAGAUUCAAAGCUUGCAGGGAAUUUCAAUGCCCCCCCUGUGCCUUCUGGAAUCUUAAUGCUGUCACCUGCAAAAGCUUCAGAGGUCAAAAACACACAGCAAGAAGAAAAAUUUCCAGUUUGAAAAAAAUUCCUUGCAAAUUCAAUAUUUAUAAAAGUUUGUUGGUCAUAGAGGCUGAACUGUGGGCAGCUCCAUCACUUUCCCUGCCACGCUGCUGCCUGAAAAGCAAUACUCAACUUCAGAACCUGACUAGAAGGAAACAGAAGCAGGGGGAGAAGUACCUUACAGAGAUGUUGCUGAUCUGCCAGAUGAUGCAACCUUUGGUCUCUCUCUUCUUGGCCAGACAAAGAAGCUGCCACAGGGAAAUAAGUUACUCAAUCUGUGAAAGCAUUUGACCUUUAUUUUCAUUUCAUCUAUGUUGGUGUAAAUUCGGAGGAACCUUAUCACAGUUACAGAAUGGCCAGAAAUGUAAAAUUGUUGUAAGUAGAAGAGUUGACACUCUAGAUUUUUAUCCAAAAAGUAACUCCAUUGUCAGUGUUUAAUGUGCUCUCUAAAGUUGGUACCACUAUACUGAGUAAAUUAAUAGAUUGUGCUCCAGAUUUAUUUCAUUGAUUUUUGUGAAUCCUGCCAAGGAAAGAUAGUCUCUUAAAACUCCUAGGUAGAAACUUACAGAUGGCAGUAUAUCUGUCCUCACUAAUACUCUGAAAAUACUUAAUGGUUUUGUCUGGAUCCUAAACUCUAGAUUUUGUUAUCCCAAAAUUAUGAAGGAAUAUACUCCAGUUAAAUGAAUGCUGUUGCCAUAUUAUUUCCUACAUCAAGCCCAAAGCUGUGAAUAGGAAAUUUUCUGGCAGACUCAUUUGGAAGUUGUGAAGUCUGCCUGUUUGAAAAAGAAAUAUGGGAGCUGAAGCUCCUUAUUAUUAUUCUGGAAGGUGUUUUUAACACCUUUGCAGUUAUAUAUCUUCUUCAGAGUGUCUGUGUUUAGCAGAAUUUUUUUACAACCAUUUAAUGAACAAGCUUAUAUAAGAAUGGCAGCAGAAUGUUUGCUCAGGUCUGCACCCCUGGCAUCUUGGAGGCUGAAGGCACACUAGCCCUGAAGACUGAGGAAGAAAGGUUAAGAGUGUGAUUACUACCCGCUUGCUGCAAGAGUCUGUGCCUUGGCUUACCCUCCAGAGGCGAGCACAGUUUACAGCGUGCAGGUGGAUGUCGGCAUCCGAAGUGCUGCUCGGGCACCAGCAGCUGCCAGCCCUGCCAGAGCAGGAGCCUCUCCAGCAGCAGCACCGUGCAGCGGGCACAGAAUUGCUCCUGAACAGCUCCCAAGAGCUGUUAGCAUGGUUGUCUCAAUAGUCAGCUGCAUGGCAGUAAUUCCUCAGCAUUCAAAUUAUUGAUCAGACCUCUCUGGGCUAAGCGCUGUGCAAGCACACAACGAGAGCAGGGUUGUUUUUUCAUGGCUGUAGAGGUUCCACAAACACACACUCACAUGAGCAUUUCUCGCUCUGAGGGAACAUUCCCUCACACUAACAAGAGGUCACAGGGAAUAUUGCUGCAAAUAUGUGUGCUUUGCUUUCCUGCUUCAAAUCCUGUGUAAAUUAGGAUCCAAAUCAUGUAAUGAGAGAUUAAAUUUACAGGGCAGCACAAGAUAAACAAAUGA
Passer domesticus (house sparrow) is the source of this 1704-nucleotide long non-coding RNA. RefSeq lists it as uncharacterized. The record is from RefSeq and is a predicted model, not a curated record. The transcript is spliced from 3 exons. NCBI's taxonomy places the organism in Eukaryota, Metazoa, Chordata, Aves, Passeriformes, Passeridae.